UGACGUCAAGUCAUCAUGGCCCUUACGACCAGGGCUACACACGUGCUACAAUGGCGCAUACAAAGAGAAGCGACCUCGCGAGAGCAAGCGGACCUCAUAAAGUGCGUCGUAGUCCGGAUUGGAGUCUGCAACUCGACUCCAUGAAGUCGGAAUCGCUAGUAAUCGUGGAUCAGAAUGCCACGGUGAAUACGUUCCCGGGCCUUGUACACACCGCCCGUCACACCAUGGGAGUGGGUUGCAAAAGAAGUAGGUAGCUUAACCUUCGGGAGGGCGCUUACCACUUUGUGAUUCAUGACUGGGGUGAAGUCGUAACAAGGUAACCGUAGGGGAACCUGCGGUUGGAUCACC
Molecule: ribosomal RNA, 348 nt
Filed under: Escherichia coli 6-537-08_S3_C3
Lineage: Bacteria; Pseudomonadati; Pseudomonadota; Gammaproteobacteria; Enterobacterales; Enterobacteriaceae
Description: bacterial SSU rRNA
Rfam family: Bacterial small subunit ribosomal RNA
Source: RNAcentral